UACAGGGGGUGCAAACGUUGCUCGGAAUUAUUGGGCGUAAAGCGCGCGUAGGCGGCCACUUAAGUCGGAUGUGAAAGCCCCUGGCUCAACUGGGGAAGUGCACCCGAAACUGAAUGGCUUGAAUACAAAAGAGGGUCGCGGAAUUCCCGGUGUAGAGGUGAAAUUCGUAGAUAUCGGGAGGAACACCGGUGGCGAAGGCGGCGACCUGGGUCGACACUGACGCUGAGGCGCGAAAGCGUGGGGAGCAAACAGG
RNAcentral lists this ribosomal RNA (253 nucleotides) under uncultured bacterium. RNAcentral describes it as "partial 16S ribosomal RNA". It matches the Rfam family "Bacterial small subunit ribosomal RNA", at positions 524 to 776 of the family's 1533-position model. The record is from RNAcentral.